UGGAAGUAAAAGUCGUAACAAGGUUUCCGUAGGUGAACCUGCGGAAGGAUCAUUACAGAGUUCAUGCCCGAAAGGGUAGACCUCCCACCCUUGUGUAUUAUUACUUUGUUGCUUUGGCGAGCUGCCUUCGGGCCUUGUAUGCUCGCCAGAGAAUACCAAAACUCUUUUUAUUAAUGUCGUCUGAGUACUAUAUAAUAGUUAAAACUUUCAACAACGGAUCUCUUGGUUCUGGCAUCGAUGAAGAACGCAGCGAAAUGCGAUAAGUAAUGUGAAUUGCAGAAUUCAGUGAAUCAUCGAAUCUUUGAACGCACAUUGCGCCCCUUGGUAUUCCGGGGGGCAUGCCUGUUCGAGCGUCAUUUCAACCCUCAAGCUUAGCUUGGUAUUGAGUCUAUGUCAGUAAUGGCAGGCUCUAAAAUCAGUGGCGGCGCCGCUGGGUCCUGAACGUAGUAAUAUCUCUCGUUACAGGUUCUCGGUGUGCUUCUGCCAAAACCCAAAUUUUUCUAUGGUUGACCUCGGAUCAGGUAGGGAUACCCGCUGAACUUAAGCAUAUCAAUA
RNAcentral lists this unclassified non-coding RNA (555 nucleotides) under Botrytis cinerea. Its description in RNAcentral is "sequence contains 18S rRNA gene, ITS1, 5.8S rRNA gene, ITS2, 28S rRNA gene". The stretch from base 203 to 356 matches the Rfam family "5.8S ribosomal RNA". The record is from RNAcentral. Lineage: Eukaryota; Fungi; Ascomycota; Leotiomycetes; Helotiales; Sclerotiniaceae.